This 213-nucleotide ribosomal RNA is filed under the name Bacillus thuringiensis serovar yunnanensis. RNAcentral describes it as "partial 16S ribosomal RNA". It matches the Rfam family "Bacterial small subunit ribosomal RNA", at positions 1 to 207 of the family's 1533-position model. The record is from RNAcentral. Lineage: Bacteria; Bacillati; Bacillota; Bacilli; Caryophanales; Bacillaceae.
UUUAUUGGAGAGUUUGAUCCUGGCUCAGGAUGAACGCUGGCGGCGUGCCUAAUACAUGCAAGUCGAGCGAAUGAAUUAAGAGCUUGCUCUUAUGAAGUUAGCGGCGGACGGGUGAGUAACACGUGGGUAACCUGCCCAUAAGACUGGGAUAACUCCGGGAAACCGGGGCUAAUACCGGAUAACAUUUUGAACUGCAUGGUUCGAAAUUGAAAG